CUGGAUGAUCCUGCCAGUAGUCAUAUGAUUGUCUCCAGAUUAAGCCAUGCAUGUCUAAGUAUAAAUAAUUUAUACAGUGAAACUGCGAAUGGCUCAUUAAAUCAGUUAUCGUUUAUUUGAUAGUUCCUUUACUACAUGGUAUAACUGUGGUAAUUCUAGAGCUAAUACAUGCUUAAAAUCUCGACCUUACGGAAGAGAUGUAUUUAUUAGAUAAAAAAUCAAUGUCUUCGGACUCUUUGAUGAUUCAUAAUAACUUUUCGAAUCGCAUGGCCUUGUGCUGGCGAUGGUUCAUUCAAAUUUCUGCCCUAUCAACUUUCGAUGGUAGGAUAGUGGCCUACCAUGGUUUCAACGGGUAACGGGGAAUAAGGGUUCGAUUCCGGAGAGGGAGCCUGAGAAACGGCUACCACAUCCAAGGAAGGCAGCAGGCGCGCAAAUUACCCAAUCCUAAUUCAGGGAGGUAGUGACAAUAAAUAACGAUACAGGGCCCAUUCGGGUCUUGUAAUUGGAAUGAGUACAAUGUAAAUACCUUAACGAGGAACAAUUGGAGGGCAAGUCUGGUA
This 560-nucleotide ribosomal RNA is filed under the name uncultured eukaryote. Its description in RNAcentral is "SSU rRNA". It matches the Rfam family "Eukaryotic small subunit ribosomal RNA", at positions 4 to 566 of the family's 1831-position model. The record is from RNAcentral.